RNAcentral lists this small RNA (104 nucleotides) under Salmonella enterica subsp. enterica serovar Heidelberg. Its description in RNAcentral is "partial RtT sRNA". It matches the Rfam family "RtT RNA", at positions 28 to 130 of the family's 130-position model. Rfam says of the family: This family represents a bacterial cis-regulatory element known as RtT RNA. Lineage: Bacteria; Pseudomonadati; Pseudomonadota; Gammaproteobacteria; Enterobacterales; Enterobacteriaceae. RNAcentral also lists the same sequence under 2 other names. The record is from RNAcentral.
AGCUUCGACUAAGGUUCGAUUCGAGCGCAGCGAGAACGCGUUGCCGCAGGCAACGACCCGAAGGGCGAAGCGCGCAGCGCUGAGUCAUCCUUCCCCCACCACCA